AGUGAACGCUGGCGGUAGGCCUAACACAUGCAAGUCGAACGGCAGCACAGGAGAGCUUGCUCUCUGGGUGGCGAGUGGCGGACGGGUGAGGAAUACAUCGGAAUCUGCCCGGUCGUGGGGGAUAACGUAGGGAAACUUACGCUAAUACCGCAUACGACCUUCGGGUGAAAGAGGGGGAUCGCAAGACCUCUCGCGAUUGGAUGAGCCGAUGUCGGAUUAGCUAGUUGGCGGGGUAAUGGCCCACCAAGGCGACGAUCCGUAGCUGGUCUGAGAGGAUGAUCAGCCACACUGGAACUGAGACACGGUCCAGACUCCUACGGGAGGCAGCAGUGGGGAAUAUUGGACAAUGGGCGCAAGCCUGAUCCAGCCAUACCGCAUGGGUGAAGAAGGCCUUCGGGUUGUAAAGCCCUUUUGUUGGGAAAGAAAUCUUUCAGGCUAAUACCCUGGGAGGAUGACGGUACCCAAAGAAUAAGCACCGGCUAACUUCGUG
This 490-nucleotide ribosomal RNA is filed under the name uncultured bacterium. RNAcentral describes it as "partial 16S ribosomal RNA". It matches the Rfam family "Bacterial small subunit ribosomal RNA", at positions 29 to 507 of the family's 1533-position model. The record is from RNAcentral.